RNAcentral lists this ribosomal RNA (2646 nucleotides) under human gut metagenome. Its description in RNAcentral is "bacterial LSU rRNA". The stretch from base 807 to 2646 matches the Rfam family "Bacterial large subunit ribosomal RNA", at positions 1 to 2292 of the family's 2925-position model. The record is from RNAcentral.
UUCCGUCACAAAGGGCGCUGUGCUGGCGUUUACCCGUGCGCUGGCGAAGGAAGUGGGGCCGUCCGGCAUCCGGGUGAAUGCGGUCUCGCCGGGGACGAUCGCCACGGAUAUGGUCGCCCAUCUGCCCCAGGAGACCCUGGACGAACUGGCAGAGGAAACACCUCUGGGACGGCUGGGAAAACCGGAGGAUGUGGCGGAUGCGGUGCGCUUUCUGGUGUCCGACCGGGCGGCGUAUAUCACCGGACAGGAUAUCCCGGUGAACGGCGGUUUCUGGUGCGGUUGACAGGCGGCAGAGAAAGUGUCGAUUUGCACCCAAAUACGGGAAAUUUGUCCUCUGCAACUUGCACAAAACCGUGUUUUGCCGCUGACUUUUUUCGAUGGAAUGUACAAAUUCCGUGAAAAUUAGGUGAGUUUUUGAUGAGAGCGCUUGCAGAAACCGCAAAUUUAUGUUAUAGUAAUGUAAUGUCGAGGCAGGGGAAACCACUGCCUUUUCGCAAUUCGUUUCGAAACAAAGGUGAUAAUUGAGACAUGAAAGAACAUAUGACAUGGCAUAACUGCUUUUCUUCCGUUCGGGCGUGGUUCUGCUCUGUGCAUGAGAAACGUUCGUAUAAUACGCUGCGCUAUCCUAUGACCAACCGGCUGCUGCUGAUCCUGUAUCCGAUCUUCAUUGUGUGCAUGGCGGAGCUGAACCAGGACAAAUACCCCAGCAAGCUGGUAUUGUUCAUCACCGAUCAUCCCACCAUCAUGCUGUUUAACGUGCUGAUUGCCGGGCUGAUCUUUGUGGGAGCGCUACUGCUGUUCCGCUCCGGGUGGUUCUCCAUGCUGCUGGAGAGCAUCCUGUACAUGGCGCUGAGUAUCACGGAGCUAUUCAAGUAUAACACCAACGGCAACCAUCUGAUUAUGACGGACAUGAAGCUGUUCCGCAGCGUAAAGAGUCUGACCUCGUUCGCCUACAUCAAGAUCACGCCCAGGUUGGUCUUGUUAAGGUCCCCAAAUAACAGUUAAGUUGAACUAACGAAGUCGGACUGCAGAGACAGCUAGGAUGUUGGCUUGGAAGCAGCCAUUCAUUUAAAGAGUGCGUAACAGCUCACUAGUCGAGGAGUCCGGCGUGGAUAAUACUCGGGCAUAAACUGUUUACCGAAGCUAUGGAUGUAGAAAUACAUGGUAGGGGAGCAUUCCAACGGCGUCGAAGGUGAAGGAUGACCUUUGCUGGAGCUUUUGGAAACGCAAAUGUAGGUAUAAGUAACGAUAAAGGAGGUGAGAAACCUCCUCGCCGAAAGACUAAGGUUUCCUGAUCAACGUUAAUCGGAUCAGGGUAAGUCGGGACCUAAGGUUAAGCCGAACGGCGAUACCGAUGGAAGAAUGGUUUAAUAUUCCCAUACUACUUUAUGGAGCGAUGUGGAGACGGAGAAGUGAAAGUCCUGCCAUCUGACGGAAUAGGUGGUUGAAGAGUGUAGAUGUAGAUUCCUGUAGGCAAAUCCGCAGGGAGAGUCGACCUUGAUAGUAUGCCGCGUGCUUGCACAAGGCAAAAUGGACGUAAUCAGGCUCCCAAGAAAAUCCGCUAAGCAUAUUCAUAAAGUACCCGUACCGUAAACGGACACACGUAGUUGGGUUGAAAAUACUGAGGCGCUCGAGUGAUUCACGGUUAAGGAACUAGGCAAAUUGACCCUGUAACUUCGGGAUAAAGGGUCCCUACUGAGAGGUAGGGCGCAGAGAAUAGGUCCAGGCAACUGUUUAACAAAAACACAUGGCUGUGCGAAAUAGAAAUAUGAAGUAUACAGCCUGACACCUGCCCGGUGCUGGAAGGUUAAGAGGAGAGCUCAUCGCAAGAGAAGGCUUGAAUUGAAGCCCCAGUAAACGGCGGCCGUAACUAUAACGGUCCUAAGGUAGCGAAAUUCCUUGUCGGGUAAGUUCCGACCUGCACGAAUGGUGUAAUGAUCUGGACGCUGUCUCAACCGUGAGCUCAGUGAAAUUGUAGUAUCGGUGAAGAUGCCGAUUACCCGCGAUGGGACGAAAAGACCCCGUGAACCUUUACUAUAGCUUUACAUUGAAUUUGGGCAAUCGAUGUGUAGGAUAGGCCGGAGACCGUGAAGCAGGUACGCCAGUAUUUGUGGAGUCGCCGUUGAAAUACGGCCCUUUGGUUGUUUGAGUUCUAACCCGCAGAUAACAUCGCACGGCACCAUCCCCGUCGUCCGUCUCAUUUCUUUCCGCCCGAUAGACCCCAAAUACCGCGUCAUCAUGAAGGAUCGGCUCUCCAGUUUCCGCGUCAAGCUUCUCAAUUCUCAGAUUUGAGAAAUACUUUCGAUUCAAAAAUGUCUUUUCCCCAUAACCGGCCCAGACUGUAUCCUCCUUCUCCUCAUUCGGAUCCACAAUGCUCCAUGGAACAAGCAUCGGCGCAUAUUCCCCGUCAUAGGCAGUCUUUAUGCCUGUCAUCAUCUCCUUUCCAUCUUUCUUCGCUCCAUUUUCACUAUCUGACUGGUAAUGAUAGUACUGCUUUACCUUCUCAUUCCCGUAAGGCUCGUAAUGCCCUGCUCUCUUUUUCUCAGAAAGUCCAUACGGAUAGACUUCAAAAUCCCCAUCAUUGCUGUGGGCACAUAUCACAUACUCCCGAAGUUCCUGUUUCUGAUUUUCCGCCGACUCCUCGUU